GGUUUCCUAUUGGGUUUAGGGUUUUGGGUUUAGUAUUCAGGGCAUUGGAUUUUUUGCAAAAUUAACAAGAUACAUAACUGUAUAAGAAAUCAGUUUUGUAGAUAAUUUAUUUACACUUACGUGGAGGUAUAGGGGUAGGGUUGGGAAUAAGUGUGUUGGUAUAAGGAUUAAGAUAACCACACCAAAAAAUACUACACCCGAAACCCUUAAUAAUAAACGCUUAACCCAAACAAUAAAUCUAAUGCCAUGAACCCUAAACCCAAUAGGCACCCCGGAACCCAACCCUAGUGACUAAACCAUAAACAAUAAACCUAAAAUACUAAACCCUAAAUCCAAAAUACUAAACCCAAUAGGAACCCGAGACCCAAAACCUAAUGUCUAAUCCCUAUUGUAUUUACGGUUUAGUCUUUCGGGUUUAGGGUUUAGGGAUUAGACAUUAGGGUUUGGCUUCAGGGGUUCUUAUUGGUUUUAGGAUUUAGUAUUUUGGGUUUAGGGUUUAUGGUUUAGUGACUCUGGUUUAGAUUCCGGGGUUACUAUUGGGUUUAGGGUUUAGGGUUUAGUGACUAUGAUUUGGGUUUCGGGCUUCCUAUUGGGUUUAGGGUUUAGUAUUUUGGGUUUAGGGUUUAGUAUUCAGGGCAUUGGAUUUUUUGCUAACCU
RNAcentral lists this long non-coding RNA (657 nucleotides) under Brassica napus (rape). RNAcentral's name for it is "long non-coding RNA (BNAP_LNC015737)". Lineage: Eukaryota; Viridiplantae; Streptophyta; Magnoliopsida; Brassicales; Brassicaceae. The record is from RNAcentral.